CACUCCGAAUCUCAACGAAGACAUCAAUCUUUCAUCAUCGCGAACCCUAAUCGCGAUGUUUAUCAACGAAGACAUCAAUCUUUCUUCCUUUUAUCAAUCUAUUUAAGGAUGACGGCGAUUCAAGCCGAUUGGUGAAGAUUUCACAAAAUCAAUGAAGAAUCUAGCCUCUCAGCUUCAGAUUUACAGAAGAAGAAUGAAGGUGUGCUGGGGUGACGGCUGGAUCUGGAUGUUAUUUAGGGUUUCGCUUGAAGUUGAGGAAGAAGAAAGGUAUAUAGUGGUCAUUUGAGGUUUAGAUUAAAGAGUUUUGGUGGUGGAGGGAAACAAAAAGAAAGAAGACUAAUUUUUUCGUAUUCAAAAGUGUGUUUGAAACAUGUUGCAGCUGAUAUAUUUUAAGGUUUCAAUGUUUUGAAGAAAGAAAGUAAGCAUAGUUUUUCUUUUAAUUUGAUAUGAGAAAAAGGUUGUAGCUCAAAAUGUGGUAUUUAAUAUAUUUGUUGGUUUCACAGUAUCUUUAAUAUUUGAAAUUUUCUAUUAGUUCUUAAGGUUUUGAUUUAUGUAACACAAUCUUUGCACAUUAUUUAUAU
Molecule: long non-coding RNA, 581 nt
Organism: Helianthus annuus (common sunflower)
Lineage: Eukaryota; Viridiplantae; Streptophyta; Magnoliopsida; Asterales; Asteraceae
Exons: 5
Source: RefSeq, a predicted model, not a curated record